Oncorhynchus keta (chum salmon) is the source of this 753-nucleotide long non-coding RNA. RefSeq lists it as uncharacterized. The transcript is spliced from 3 exons. NCBI's taxonomy places the organism in Eukaryota, Metazoa, Chordata, Actinopteri, Salmoniformes, Salmonidae. The record is from RefSeq and is a predicted model, not a curated record.
AGUGUAGAGGAGGUAGGGUAGCCUAGUGGUUAGAGUGUAGAGGGGGCAGGGUAGCCUAGUGGUUAGAGUGUAGAGGUGGCAGGGUAGCCUAGUGGUUAGAGUGUAGAGGAGGCAGGGUAGCCUAGUGGUUAGAGUGUAGAGGUGGCAGGGUAGCCUAGUGGUUAGAGUGGAGAGGUGGCAGGGUAGCCUAGUGGUUAGAGUGUAGAGGUGGCAGGGUAGCCUAGUGGUUAGAGUGUAGAGGUGGCAGGGUAACCUAGUGGUUAGAGUGUAGAGGCGGCAGGGUAACCUAGUGGUUAGAGUGUAGAGGCGGCAGGGUAGCCUAGUGGUUAGAGUGUAGAGGUGGCAGGGUAGCCUAGUGGUUAGAGUGUAGAGGUGGCAGGGUAGCCUAGUGGUUAGAGUGUAGAGGCGGCAGGGUAGCCUAGUGGUUAGAGUGUAGAGGUGGCAGGGUAGCCUAGUGGUUAGAGUGUAGAGGCGGCAGGGUAGCCUAGUGGUUAGAGUGUAGAGGCGGCAGGGUAGCCUAGUGGUUAGAGUGUAGAGGCGGCAGGGUAGCCUAGUGGUUAGAGUGUAGAGGCGGCAGGGUAGCCUAGUGGUUAGAGUGUAGAGGCGGCAGGGUAGCCUAGUGGUUAGAGUGUAGAGGUGGCAGGGUAGCCUAGUGGUUAGAGUGUAGAGGUGGCAGGGUAGCCUAGUGGUUAGAGCAUUGGACUAGUAACCAAAACGUUGCAAGUUCAAAUCCCCGAGCUGACAAAGGUACAA